Molecule: long non-coding RNA, 1865 nt
Filed under: Manihot esculenta (cassava)
Lineage: Eukaryota; Viridiplantae; Streptophyta; Magnoliopsida; Malpighiales; Euphorbiaceae
Description: long non-coding RNA (MESC_LNC012222)
Source: RNAcentral
CAAUGACAAAAUUUAGCACACACACGAAGGCCCUUGAGAGAAGGGUGAGAACGGUGCUACCUGGUUGGAUGUCUAUGCCACCCAAGAGGGGAAGGCGUUGGAGAUUGAUUCUGGCUAGACUGGCCAUAUUAACUAGAGGUGCUGCACGCUCCACUGGGGACACCAUUGGGAGAGAGGUAGUAACCUAGUACUACACACUCCAUUGGAAAUGUCUUUUGGAGAAAGGGUAGUGACUAGGUGCUACAUACUCCCUUUUGUGACCCUUGGAGAGAGAGUAAGGACCUCAGGGUAUAGUGAUAAGGGGGAGGAUGGGCCAAUAGAGCUUGAGGCCAUCUGAGAAUCCCGAAACCAUUCCACUCAAAGUUGAGGCAAGAGGCCUCCUGAGACGGAAUUGAGGCAAGAGGCCUCCCGAGAUAGAAUUGAGGCAAGAGGCCUCCUGAGACAAAAUUGAGGCAAGAGGCCUCCUGAGACAAAAUUAGAGGCAAGAGGCCUUCUAAGACAAAAUUGAGGCAGUGACCUCUCAUGUAUUUUGUUUUACUUGCAGGUAUGGUGCAAUAAUAUUAAAUAUGACAUAGGAAAGACUAUGACCAAUACUUCAGAAGUGAACCAGAGGAACAAUUAUCAAUGGCGUGAAUCAUGAGCUAUUGCCUAUGAAGUAGGCACGGGUGGAAUCCCAAAACUUCAGUCCUUGUUGUGGAAUGGAGGUAAAUAAUUUUCUCUUCAAUAUGAAUUUUUGCAUUAAUAUUAUUGGGAUUGGUGACUGUGCAGACAUAUAAAGAACAAUGUUUGUGGGAUCAAGCUAUAAAGCUAAAUCUAUUCUAAAAAUGAAAGGGUAAAGUCCCAUGAAUAGAGAGUGUUCACUCUAUACAUGAAAAGGGGGAUAUGAAAUGAUAAGCUCCAGUUUUACUACAAGAAUGUAACAUUUGCUAUUCAAGAGAGUUGGUAAACUCCAACAAGGUGUUCAUAAGGAAAGUACAUAAAGUAACUUUUCAGCAUCUAUAGAUGGCACAAGAGGACGUGGCACUUGAUUUUUAAUAGAGUAAGCGGAGUGUGACAGCAAUUCAAGAGAUAUGACUGAGCUUAAAACCUUCCUGGAGAAGGUCAAAACCUGGAGGAUUAUGGUGUAGAGUAAAGGGCAACCAAUACUGAGUUGGUUCUAUUACCAAGGAAUUGAAGGAAUAUUCAACUCUGAUAUCUGAUUGAUAGUUGCCUAAGAGGAUGGGCCAAAGCAAUAAGUGGGGGAGCGGUCUGAAAGGUGGUAAACAAGAGCACAUGGAAGUGGCAUAACUAAGCAGUAUGAAGUGCUCUCUAUGAAGAAAGCCAUAUGAUUUUACAAGUUGCUAGUGUGGAAAUGUGUCGAAGGUCUUGAGGGACAUGGUGAGUAAAGGGGGAGGGAACAUUAGGUAUAAAUCAUAGAGUUGUCAACUCUAGGUUGUUUGUACUUUCUUGUUCCUCCCCGCCUAAGGUAGUAUUGUUCGCGUGAAGGGAUCAAGCAUGAUGGAAAUAUUCUGUGAGUGUUGUGUUAAAUAAGGGACAUAGAAUGGAGGAGAAGAUCUUCAAAGUCUUCUUGAGGAUUCUAAGAGAAGAAAUGAGAAUCGAAGCUAGUAUAAAAUAACAUAUUGUUGCUCAGUGUCAAGUAUAGCGGAGUUGAUGCUACAACGCGUGCACAGAUACAAGAUUCCUACACUGUUUACACAAUUGUGAGAAUCACGAAUAAAACUGAAGUGGAUGAUAUGAGGAAAUAAAGACUAAGCAGACAACUUGAGUGCAGGGAUUAAGUUGAGCAUGUCCUUUGACAAACUCGCUUAAUCGAGGACAUCAAAAAGCAAGAUGAACUUCAUAAUUUCUUUUUUAGUGAACCUGGG